AUUGAACGCUGGCGGCGUGCCUAACACAUGCAAGUCGAGCGGUAACAGGUGUAGCAAUACAUGCUGACGAGCGGCGGACGGGUGAGUAACGCUUGGGAAUCUGCCUAUUAGUGGGGGACAACCCGGGGAAACUCGGGCUAAUACCGCAUACGCACUACGGUGGAAAGCCGGGGACCGCAAGGCCUGGCGCUAACAGAUGAGCCCAAGUCGGAUUAGCUAGUUGGUAGGGUAACGGCCACCAAGGCGACGAUCCGUAACUGGUCUGAGAGGACGACCAGUCACACCGGAACUGAGACACGGUCCGGACUCCUACGGGAGGCAGCAGUGGGGAAUAUUGGACAAUGGGCGAAGCCUGAUCCAGCGACGCCGCGUGGGUGAAGAAGGCCUGCGGGUUGUAAAGCCCUUUC
RNAcentral lists this ribosomal RNA (407 nucleotides) under uncultured bacterium. RNAcentral's name for it is "bacterial SSU rRNA". It matches the Rfam family "Bacterial small subunit ribosomal RNA", at positions 29 to 437 of the family's 1533-position model. The record is from RNAcentral.